GUGAACGCUGGCGGCAGGCCUAACACAUGCAAGUCGAGCGGCAGCGCGGGGGCAACCCUGGCGGCGAGCGGCGGACGGGUGGGGAAUUCGUCGGAAUCUGCCUUUUUGUGGGGGAUAACGUAGGGAAACUUACGCUAAUACCGCAUACGACCUACGGGUGAAAGUGGGGGACCUUCGGGCCUCACGCAGAAAGAUGAGCCGACGACCGAUUAGCUAGUUGGUAGGGUAAAGGCCUACCAAGGCGACGAUCGGUAGCUG
RNAcentral lists this ribosomal RNA (258 nucleotides) under uncultured bacterium. RNAcentral's name for it is "partial 16S ribosomal RNA". It matches the Rfam family "Bacterial small subunit ribosomal RNA", at positions 29 to 289 of the family's 1533-position model. The record is from RNAcentral.